UGGGGACGGUAGUCUGUGUGAGGAAAGGCAGCUAAUGGCUUCUAUGCUGUUUGAAAGCUGUAAGGAAAAGCCUCUUGCAGGAGGAGGGUUUGCUAAGGUUGUUUCUAAGCCCUUACAUCUAAAAGCUCUGAGCCUUCAGGGAGGAUUAUGAGCAAGAAGAAGUUAUGUGCUUUCACCUAUGCCAUCUGUGAUGUUUGUAUUUCUUGGUGACCUUUUCAACAGUUUGUUGUUCUCAUUCUUCUGUCCAUAUGAGAGAGAUGGAAUUCUCCAAGGGAAGCUACUUGAACAUAUGGCAAGGAUCCUCAUCUCCCAGACCAGAACUCCAAAGCAGAGAUCACAGCCCUGACAUUUAAAGCUUCAAGAUUCUCAUAUUUCAAGCAUAUAAUCUGAAUUACACAAUUUUCCU
Molecule: long non-coding RNA, 406 nt
Organism: Alligator sinensis (Chinese alligator)
Lineage: Eukaryota; Metazoa; Chordata; Crocodylia; Alligatoridae
Exons: 3
Source: RefSeq, a predicted model, not a curated record